Molecule: ribosomal RNA, 253 nt
Filed under: uncultured bacterium
Lineage: Bacteria
Description: partial 16S ribosomal RNA
Rfam family: Bacterial small subunit ribosomal RNA
Source: RNAcentral
GACGUAGGGCGCGAGCGUUGUCCGGAUUUAUUGGGCGUAAAGAGCUCGUAGGCGGCUUGUUGCGUCGACUGUGAAAACCCGCGGCUUAACCGCGGGCUUGCAGUUGAUACGGGCAGGCUAGAGUUCGGUAGGGGAGACUGGAAUUCCUGGUGUAGCGGUGAAAUGCGCAGAUAUCAGGAGGAAUACCGGUGGCGAAGGCGGGUCUCUGGGCCGAUACUGACGCUGAGGAGCGAAAGCGUGGGGAGCGAACAGG